UAGAGACUCAUCCAGUUUCAUAGUUUACUCUGCUGCACGUCUGCGGGGGGGGGGGCUUAGUUUUUAUAGAUCCAGCUUCUUCAUUUUGCUCUUAAAGCAGAACGAUCUCCGGAUGUCAGAUUGGGGGGGUUGGGUUUGAAUGAGAAGUGGACGGGUUUAGAUUUAUCAAUCGUCCAGUGGUAGCAGCGCAGACGUGUUAGUCCCGCCCGCUGACCCUGAUUGGCUGGCUUCACGGCUCCAUCUCGAGUGGCAGGUUCAAAGACGUCUUUUUAAAUGUUCUAAAUUUAGGGUGAAAUAUAUCGUAAGAAUAAAUCCAAGACUGAGCUCUAAUGCAAAACUUUAAAUCAAGAGGACUUCCUCAACUUCAACACUCCACCUGCCAUCAGCACCCCGCCCCCCCCCAUCCCCCCGACACACACCCUGGCAGCAUGCUGCCCCACACCAGCCGUCUGCAUCUCACCUCCCAGCAGCACAGCAUGGUACUGGAGACGCCACUCAGUCCACCUGGGGGGUGAGAGGCUGGAGAGGGAAUUAGAGUUUUGUUUUGUAUUUCUGCUCAGGGUGAGUACGGGCAGGUAGACGAGGCGGCUGUGUGUGUACGUGUGAGCAUGGCCUUACAUCUUAAUCUGAGCAUGGGGAUGUGACGCCUCCUGUGUGACCUGUGACGGGAACAUGUAUAUGUAAUGAUCACGUUAGCAGCAUUAGUGUUAGCGCUCUGCUAACCCGGCGUGCAGCGCAGCAGAGGACACGGGAGGAGUUUGUUAAGAAGCUCUUCACCAGGUGUGUGAUCGGAAUCAGACAGCUGGACAAACAUGUUCACAUCUGUUCUUUAACUCAUCCAGCAGGAGGGAAUCUUUCAUGAACAACACUGUCGUCAUGUAAACACUAAACAUUAUUCCUGCUGAACCUGCACAAACACUUUUUACACAAAGACUUUGAGCGUUUGGAUAACAUGCAGAUAAGCAUCGCCUGCACAGCUGCAGAUAACAUGGUGCCAGUUAACGGCAGAGCAGGGGGGGGAGCAGGUUGUAGCAGCGAGUUCAUCCCUGCAGCUCUAUUCAAAAUCUACUUUUCAAAUCAAAUGCACAACAGUCAGAUUGACCUGAGUCUCCCGUGUACAGAGCCCGCUGUGUGCGGGAGACGGUGGAAGCUGCAGGAGAGGUUCUGAGUCCAGCAGUGACCCGUGUGUGUCUCCCUGCAGGAACUGUGGUAACGUGUUCUGCGCCAGCUGCUGCGACCAGAAGAUCCCCGUGCCAAGCCAGCAGCUGUUCGAGCCGACCCGCGUCUGUAAGACCUGCUACGGCAGCCUGAAGCUCAGCCCGGCCCCCCUGGAUCUGGAGCUGGAGCUAGAGAAACCCAUCACGGCCAGCUCCACCUGAGCCUCAGAGGAGCGGGACGGGGCGAGCCGCCGACACCACACGGGCGCACCGCUGCACAGAAUGUCCCAUGUACUUUAUGUGUGUGUGCUGCAGGUGUGGAGUUUAACGUGUAUAUACAGAGGAGCCGGAUCACCUGACGCUGAGUGUGCACAGUGACAGAAAAGAAGAAGCAGAAUCCAGGUCAAAGUGCGGCUGUAAGUUAGUCAUGCUCACUGACGUGACGGAGGGAGGCGGUCCUACCGGCGCUAAGGAAACGACACUAGACUUCAUAUCACUGCACAGAAACGGGACGUCUGCAGCACAAGCAGCAGCUGACAGCGAGCUGCGGCGGCGGCGGCAUCAGAGCUGCACGCUUCGGGAUCUUAGGUUUGCUAAAAAGAACAACACGAGGAACACUUGGAGCGAAACAUUGCUUAAUAUUUUACAAAGUAUGGCCGGCGACUGUCAAUAAAGCAAUUAUAUAUCAAAAGCUAUGGAGUCACGAGGACCGUGUGAUCCACGUGGUCGUGACCUCUGUUCCAAUCUCAGACUCCCUCAUCAUGAUUUAAGCGAGAAACCCCCCCGUACUAAAGAUUCUGAUGCAGUGUUGAUAGAACAGCUUCAUUAAUCUCCCUGCAACAUCUUUACAAACUCAUUUUAAAAAAAAUAGACCUGGCUUCACCGCCGACUUCCCUUUAUAAAACUCACACAGCGAUAUGUACAACUUUGAACACAUGAAGAUUCUCUUCUUCUGCAGAUCAGUGCAGCGUCCCUGUCACCAAGUCUACUGUGUCGCUCCCCCCGUCAGAGCACGCGGCAGAGAAGAGGAUUGUCACAGGAGACGUGUGUGUGUGUGUGUGUGUGUGUGUGUGUGUGUUUGCACUCAGAGUUGAUUUCCCAAAGAGGGGUUUCCCAAAGUUUCUCUUCAACCUCGUCAGGAGCAGCGCGGAGCUUGAUUCACACCGAUGACUGAUCCCAAACCUGCAAGACAACGACAGGGUCACAUGACGUCACCAUGUGAUGACAUCACGUGAUGACGUCGUCACAUGCUGAUCGUGGACACAGGAAGAGAAGAAGCGUCGGCACCUUGUUGACGGGGGCGAGCUGAGUCCGGACCGACCCGGCGUGAAGCCGGCCGCUGUCUCCGAACCUCCCGGGCGAUCUCUCCCUGCGGCCGUCGAGCACCCUGCCCGGCGACUUCUCGCGGUCCAGCGGUCGGGCGGGAGACUUGUCCCGUCUGAACUCGGUGCGGCCCUCCCGGUAACGAUGGGGCGUGCUGGGCUCCCGAUGCAAACCGUCAUGGCUGCCGGGGCCCGAGGUCAAACGCUUGGAGAUGUGCUCCGUGUAGGUGGGCGGGCCGCGCUUACUGGGACUGCUGUGGGAACAUCAACAGUCUCAUUUCAAUGACCCUGAACAGUCGGUGGUUCCCAACCUGAGGGUCUGGACCCCACUAGGGUCCACCAGAGGCGUUACAGGAGGACAACAGGAUGUCUGAAACUAAAUGAAAGAUUUAUUCUCUGAAGUUUGGAUUAAUAUUUAGAGAUUUAGAGCUUUAAGAGCUUUAAGAGCCGCAUCAGGGAGAAGAUUAUUAAAAUAAAUACAUAAAACAGACAGAACUGUAUUAAAAUAACAGAAAACUCAUCGAAUCCAAAUCAAUGCCACAAACUUCUGUUGCUCAUCAUCAGCUGUUCUGUAAAGCAAAGACCCGUGACUCGAUGUUCAGAGGAGAUCCUAUAAAUAGAAAACUAUAACUCAGCAAACAUUGAUGUUAUUUUGUAUUUGUGAACAUUUAGUUUCACUUAUUCUCUUUAUAAUAACAAGUCUUCGUUCUGUUUGUCUCAACGAGUGUCCUGAUAAACGACCAGCAGGUGGCGCUGUUGCACAACACAACGCUCUUCUCUAUCAGGGCGUUUGACAUUUAACAAUAAAUGUUUUGACAUGUUUUUUAAAGUG
This is a long non-coding RNA of Cottoperca gobio, 3311 nucleotides long. RefSeq lists it as uncharacterized. The transcript has 3 exons. The record is from RefSeq and is a predicted model, not a curated record. NCBI's taxonomy places the organism in Eukaryota, Metazoa, Chordata, Actinopteri, Perciformes, Bovichtidae.